RNAcentral lists this ribosomal RNA (477 nucleotides) under uncultured bacterium. RNAcentral describes it as "partial 16S ribosomal RNA". It matches the Rfam family "Bacterial small subunit ribosomal RNA", at positions 28 to 507 of the family's 1533-position model. The record is from RNAcentral.
GAUUAACGCUGGCGGCGUGCAUAACACAUGCAAGUCGAACGAUGAAACUUAAAUGAUUUCUUCGGAAUGAACUUAAGUGGAUUAGUGGCGGACGGGUGAGUAACGCGUGAGUAACCUGCCUUACACAAGGGGAUAGCCGUUGGAAACGACGAAUAAUACCCUAUGAAACUAUCACUUCGCAUGAAGCGAUAGUCAAAGUGUUAGCGGUGUAAGAUGGACUUGCGUCUGAUUAGCUAGUUGGUGAGAAAAAAGCCCACCAAGGCAACGAUCAGUAGCCGGCUUGAGAGAGUGUACGGCCAUAUUGGGACUGAGACACGGCCCAGACUCCUACGGGAGGCAGCAGUGGGGAAUUUUGCACAAUGGGGGAAACCCUGAUGCAGCGACGCCGCGUGAUUUAGAAGGCCUUCGGGUUGUAAAAAUCUUUUGUAUAGGAAGAAAAUGACAGUACUAUACGAAUAAGGUCCGGCUAAUUACGUG